This 2119-nucleotide long non-coding RNA is filed under the name Mus musculus (house mouse). Its description in RNAcentral is "long non-coding RNA chr17:74563039-74565158". The record is from RNAcentral. Lineage: Eukaryota; Metazoa; Chordata; Mammalia; Rodentia; Muridae.
UUUUUUUUUUUUUUUUUUCAAAUUUAGGAUCUCUCUGUGUAGCUAUGGCUGACCUUAGACCAAGCUUGUUUAGAUUUCUAAAAUAUCUACCUGCCUCUCUCUGUUUCUCUGCCUCUCUAGUCCUGGGAUUAAAGUUGUGUGCCUUCAUGCCCUUCCGGGCAUCAAGUUCCUGAUGCUCCUCGCACCGUAUUUUGGGUUCAGAGGAGGGUCCCACCACACCUUUUCUUUCUCUCCUUAAGAUGGAGUCAAGGCUUAAAGUGAGCCUAGGCUGCAAACCAACUCAGGCUGCCCUCAAACUUAUGUCAGCUAUGCCUCAGCUUCCUUAGUGCUGGGAUUAUGGGUAUAAAUCACAAUGGACAGCUUUGAUGGAACCUGUAUUCUUAAUUUACUUGUGUUGGGGAGGCAGAUUCAGAAUUUCAGUUUGGGCAGAUAAGUACCCAUCUUUUCUUGACAUGCUGAGGGUUUGGGCAUGUACCAGAAUAUGGGAUUCAAAACUCAAGAAUUUGAGAGUCUGAUGUUCUGAGUAUACUGUUCUAAGUGCUAGGAGAGAAACUGGGUUGCUGAGCAUGGGUGCUUUCCAGAUCUUUAUAAUAAAGAGGCAGUUUAAAGGGGAAAAGGAGACCUUGCUCUUUUGCUUAUGGGAAUUGAAAGAGUUAGUAGCGAGAUUGACUUCUUCAAGAAAUAAAAAUGAAUAUUCUUGCUAAAUAUAGUGACCCACACCUUUAAUCCCAGCCCGUAGGAUACAGAGGCAGGUGGGUCUCUGAGUUCAAGGUCAGCCUGGUCAACAAAGAGAGUCUAGUACAGCUAAUAUAGCUAUAGUUUGUUACAUAGAGAAACCCUGUCUCAAAAAACAAGCAAGCAACCAAACAAACAAAGUGGGUAUUCUCUAUCUUCUGUCAGUUCUGUAUUUACCUCUCUACUCUUAGGAGCUAAUUCUUUUUGUAUGCUUGGCUUUGUGACAAGAUUGGCCAUCACGGUGAAAAACUGGAAAGAUUUUAAAUGUCCACCAAGAGUGCAGUGGCUUCUGGGAGGCAGAGGCAGGUGGAUCUUUUGUGAGUUUGAUGCCAUUCAAAGCUACAUACUGAUGCUGUGUUGUUUUUCUUUUAAAAAAAUUGCUAUGGCCAAUGUAGUUUGAUAAAUUCAUGAGAAUUAGUAGAGAAUUAGAAGAACUUUUUAUAUACUUUAAAAUUUAUCCAUUUAUUUAUGUAUAUGAGCACACUGUUGCUGUUUUCAGACACACCAGAAGAGGGCAUUGGAUCCCAUUACAGAUGGCUCUGAGCCACCAUGUGGGUGCUGGAAAUUGAACUUUGGACUUCUGGAAGAGUAGUCAGUCAGUGCUCUUAACUGCUGAGCCUCCUCUCCAGCCCCAAGUUUAUAUUUUUUAGUGAUUAUUGUCAGUAACAUUCUGUAUGUUCUUGUUUUACAAAAACUGUUGCAGAGUGGCUCAGUGCUACUGGUGAUUUAAAAUUCUUUGAAGUAAUUAACAAAAUAAUAAUAAAAUAAUAAUUUUUUCCCAUAAACUACUAAAAGUAUUUUAGAGUUAAGAUGCUAAGACUCUUAUUUGAAAGGUGAUAAGAGAUUAUUAGGGUUAGCUAUAAAUGAAGUUGACUUUUAAUUUUAUUUUACACAGACACAUGUAGCUUCAAAUAUCUGAUUAAAAAGUUAAAACUCAGUUAAGAGAAGGUAGAAAGGGGAAAAUACACUAGAACUUGGCUGGGAGACAGUGUAGCUCAAAUACUGUGCUUUGUGGUGUAGUGCAGAGCGAUUUAUGAAGGAUGCCUGUGCAUUACAGUUUGCCCAGGAUGUCAUAAUAGUAAACUGCAGGUGUGGUGUGAAAAAAAAUGUCUGUUCUGAAGAAUAGCAUGUUUUAUGAGUAAAAUUUUCUUUUUCUCUCUAUGCUGUGAGUAAGGAAACAAAGAUUAUGUCUUUGGUAGCAGGAUCCUGUUCUAAAGUAUCGCUUUGAAAUUAUAUGCCGGGUGUGGUGGCACAUGCCUUUAAUCCCAGCACUUGAGAGGCAGAGGCAGAGGCAGGCAGAUUUCUGAGUUCGAGGCUGGCCUGGUCUACAAAGUGAGUUCCAGGACAGCCAGGGCUAUAUAGAGAAACCCUGUUUUGAAAAACC